AUUGAACGCUGGCGGCGUGCCUAACACAUGCAAGUGGAGCGACGAACCAGGGCUUGCCCUGGGGCAGAGCCGCGAACGGGUGAGUAACACGUGGGUAACCUGCCUUGAUGACUGGGAUAACCCGGGGAAACCCGAGCUAAUACCGGAUGUGUUGAUCGAUCGUUGGAUUGAUUAAUAAAGGAGCUUCGGCCUCCGCAUCAAGAUGGGCCCGCGGCCCAUUAGUUUGUUGGUAGGGUAACGGCCUACCAAGGCAACGAUGGGUAGCUGGUCUGAGAGGACGAUCGGCCACACUGGGACUGAGACACGGCCCAGACUCCGACUGGAGGCAGGAGUGGGGAAUCUUGCGCAAGGCGCGAAAGCGUGACGCAGCAACGCCGCGUGAGGGAAGACGGCCUUCGGGUUGUAAACCUCUUUCAGUUGGGACGAAGCCUGUGCAGUUAAUAGCUGUUGCAGGUGACGGUACCUUUAGAAGAAGCCCCGGCUAACUACGUGCCAGCCGCCGCGGUAA
Molecule: ribosomal RNA, 508 nt
Filed under: uncultured bacterium
Lineage: Bacteria
Description: partial 16S ribosomal RNA
Rfam family: Bacterial small subunit ribosomal RNA
Source: RNAcentral